RNAcentral lists this transfer RNA (67 nucleotides) under Yezoterpnosia vacua. RNAcentral describes it as "tRNA-Leu". Lineage: Eukaryota; Metazoa; Arthropoda; Insecta; Hemiptera; Cicadidae. The record is from RNAcentral.
UCCAUUAUGGCAGAAAUUAGUGCAGUGAAUUUAAGAUUCAUAUAUAAAUAUGAAUAUUUUUUUGGAA